UGGAGAAUUUUGCACAAUGGGGGAAACCCUGAUGCAGCGACGCCGCGUGAUUUAGAAGGCCUUCGGGUUGUAAAAAUCUUUUUUAUGGGAUGAAAAUGACAGUACCAUAAGAAUAAGGUCCGGCUAAAUACGUGCCAGCAGCCGCGGUAAUACGUAUGGACCGAGCGUUGUCCGGAAUCAUUGGGCGUAAAGGGUACGUAGGCGGCCCAGUAAGUUAGAAGUGAAAUAAUAUAGCUCAACUAUAUAAAGCUUUUAAAACUGCUAGGCUUGAGAGAUGGAAGGGAAAGUGGAAUUCCUAGUGUAGCGGUGAAAUGCGCAGAUAUUAGGAAGAAUACCGGUGGCGAAGGCGACUUUCUGGUCAUCAUCUGACGCUGAGGUACGAAAGCGUGGGUAGCAAACAGG
This 402-nucleotide ribosomal RNA is filed under the name Acidobacteriota bacterium. RNAcentral's name for it is "Acidobacteria bacterium partial 16S ribosomal RNA". It matches the Rfam family "Bacterial small subunit ribosomal RNA", at positions 355 to 776 of the family's 1533-position model. The record is from RNAcentral. Lineage: Bacteria; Pseudomonadati; Acidobacteriota.